GGAUGAUCGAUUGAUGAAGCGAUGAUCCACAGUUUGUUGAAGUGAGUUGAAUAUGAUUGAAAUUCAAGUUGUUGUGUUGCGGAAGCGUUUGAAGAUUAGCAGUUCCAGUUGCAGAAUUGAUCAGACAGAGUAACACAAAGUCUGUAAUUGUAAUACAGAGUGUGUGGGUGUGUGUGAUCGUGUGUUAAAGUUAAAUUUAGGAUUAGAUAAGUUUAUAUAGAAGAACACCCAACGACUAUGUUGGUUGGGUGUAUUUAAUUAUGGUAAUUAAUGUAUAUAGGAAUGUGUAAUAUGGAUUUG
Molecule: long non-coding RNA, 300 nt
Filed under: Zostera marina
Lineage: Eukaryota; Viridiplantae; Streptophyta; Magnoliopsida; Alismatales; Zosteraceae
Description: long non-coding RNA (ZMAR_LNC001967)
Source: RNAcentral